CCUACGGGAGGCUGCAGUGAGGAAUAUUGGUCAAUGGACGAGAGUCUGAACCAGCCAAGUAGCGUGAAGGAUGACUGCCCUAUGGGUUGUAAACUUCUUUUAUAUGGGAAUAAAACGUUCCACGUGUGGGAUUUUGUAUGUACCAUAUGAAUAAGGAUCGGCUAACUCCGUGCCAGCAGCCGCGGUAAUACGGAGGAUCCGAGCGUUAUCCGGAUUUAUUGGGUUUAAAGGGAGCGUAGGUGGAUUGUUAAGUCAGUUGUGAAAGUUUACGGCUCAACCGUAAAAUUGCAGUUGAAACUGGCAGUCUUGAGUACAGUAGAGGUGGGCGGAAUUCGUGGUGUAGCGGUGAAAUGCUUAGAUAUCACGAAGAACUCCGAUUGCGAAGGCAGUUCACUGGACUGCAACUGACACUGAGGCUCGAAAGUGUGGGUAUCAAACAGGAUUAGAUACCCUAGUAGUC
This 460-nucleotide ribosomal RNA is filed under the name uncultured bacterium. RNAcentral's name for it is "partial 16S ribosomal RNA". It matches the Rfam family "Bacterial small subunit ribosomal RNA", at positions 338 to 795 of the family's 1533-position model. The record is from RNAcentral.